This 729-nucleotide ribosomal RNA is filed under the name Leptocylindrus convexus. RNAcentral describes it as "eukaryotic LSU rRNA". It matches the Rfam family "Eukaryotic large subunit ribosomal RNA", at positions 60 to 853 of the family's 3401-position model. Lineage: Eukaryota; Bacillariophyta; Leptocylindrophyceae; Leptocylindrales; Leptocylindraceae. The record is from RNAcentral.
AGAAACUAACCAGGAUUCCCCUAGUAACGGCGAGUGAAGCGGGAAUAGCUCACCUUGUGAAUCUGUGCAAAAGUUAAGUUACUUUGCGCCGAGUUGUGCUUAUAAAUUCAUUUGAUAAUAAACCUAGCCUGAGUCCCUUGGAAUAGGGCAGCAUAGAGGGUGACACUCCCGUCUGGCAAGGUAUUAAAAGUGUAUUUGACGAGUCGAGUUGUUUGGGAUUGCAGCUCAAAGCGGGUGGUAAAUUCCAUCCAAAGCUAAAUAUUGGUGGGAGACCGAUAGCGAACAAGUACCGUGAGGGAAAGAUGCAAAGAACUUUGAAAAGAGAGUUAAAGAGUACCUGAAAUUGCUGAAAGGGAAGGGAAGGAAACCAGUGUCUUGUGGCGUCAUAUUUCCGUACUUACUUGUAAGUUUGGCACUGUGGCGUUGCUAGUGUCAGCACUUGCUGUACUCGGGUUAUAUGCUCAGUGAAUGGUUGAUUCGCUGAUGAGUGACCUGGGCGUGGCAACUGUUGACGAAAUGGUUUUCUUUCACCCGUCUUGAAACACGGACCAAGGAGUCUAACAUACGUGCGAGUAUAGGAGUGACAAACUUCCAUGCGCAAUGAAAGUAACAGUGGUAGGACAAUUUGGCACUAUCCGCCGGCCACAACUCUUCGGAGGAAAGGUCUGAGUGUGAGCAUGCAUGUUGGGACCCGAAAGGUGGUGAACUAUAACCGGAUAGGGUGAAGCC